Molecule: small nuclear RNA, 149 nt
Organism: Suncus etruscus (white-toothed pygmy shrew)
Lineage: Eukaryota; Metazoa; Chordata; Mammalia; Eulipotyphla; Soricidae
Product: U12 minor spliceosomal RNA
Exons: 1
Source: RefSeq, a predicted model, not a curated record
AUGCCUUAAACUUAUGAGUAAGGAAAAUAACAAUUUGGGGUGGUGCCAAAUCCUCACUGCUAAUGUGAGACAAAUUUUUGCAAGGGUAAGGGAUGUCUUCCUAUUAACCCACCUACUUUACGGGAUGCUGGAGUGGAGAGAUCUGCCCU